Molecule: ribosomal RNA, 251 nt
Filed under: Salmonella enterica
Lineage: Bacteria; Pseudomonadati; Pseudomonadota; Gammaproteobacteria; Enterobacterales; Enterobacteriaceae
Description: partial 16S ribosomal RNA
Rfam family: Bacterial small subunit ribosomal RNA
Source: RNAcentral
GUAGUGUAGUCCGGAUUGGAGUCUGCAACUCGACUCCAUGAAGUCGGAAUCGCUAGUAAUCGUGGAUCAGAAUGCCACGGUGAAUACGUUCCCGGGCCUUGUACACACCGCCCGUCACACCAUGGGAGUGGGUUGCAAAAGAAGUAGGUAGCUUAACCUUCGGGAGGGCGCUUACCACUUUGUGAUUCAUGACUGGGGUGAAGUCGUAACAAGGUAACCGUAGGGGAACCUGCGGUUGGAUCACCUCCUUA